Molecule: unclassified non-coding RNA, 528 nt
Filed under: Bombus terrestris (buff-tailed bumblebee)
Lineage: Eukaryota; Metazoa; Arthropoda; Insecta; Hymenoptera; Apidae
Description: misc RNA ENSBTSG00005025557.1
Source: RNAcentral
GCCGUUUAUAGCUGGUUAAAAUCUAUCUCAAGGAUGAAUUGUAGAGAUAUUUUACUGUUAGAUGAAAUUAUCGAUCGCCGAUGGAACGAAAUCGACUCUAGACGUCACACGAGCAUUCUAUACGAUCGAAACGGUACGCCGCGCUACCGGCUGAAUCGAUAUGCAAUCGGUUCUUUAUUCGGUGUGUACGACCUUGAUGCAAUCGCAUGGUCACAUGGCUUCUAUACAAUGAGUUCGAGAAUUUGCAACUGAGAGAGUCGUGAGCGAUAACUCAUCGUAUGAGUCACGCAAAAGUCACGAAUACGGCAUUACGAACGCACCUAAAGUACGCUGAGGCGAUUAACAUAAUGCCUGACAUUUUGUCAAUUAGUUUGACAAUUAGAAGAUGCAGAUGCUUGAUUUUUGUAAUCAGAAAUGACUUCAGCGCAAGAAACAAUGUCAUAGCGCUGCUUUCGUAAAGAAUAAUUGCCUGAUAGCAAAUCGAUUAUACAGCUGUAAUUUAUGUUAAUAAAUGAGCGAUAAAAUUGA